Molecule: ribosomal RNA, 782 nt
Filed under: Agrococcus sp.
Lineage: Bacteria; Bacillati; Actinomycetota; Actinomycetes; Micrococcales; Microbacteriaceae
Description: bacterial SSU rRNA
Rfam family: Bacterial small subunit ribosomal RNA
Source: RNAcentral
GAUGAAGGGGGAGCUUGCUCCUCCGGAUUAGUGGCGAACGGGUGAGUAAUACGUGAGCAAUGUGCCCUUGACUCUGGGAUAAGCGCUGGAAACGGCGUCUAAUACCGGAUACGACCAUCGGAGGCAUCUCCUGGUGGUGGAAAGAACUUCGGUCAAGGAUCAGCUCACGGCCUAUCAGCUUGUUGGUGAGGUAACGGCUCACCAAGGCGACGACGGGUAGCCGGCCUGAGAGGGUGACCGGCCACACUGGGACUGAGACACGGCCCAGACUCCUACGGGAGGCAGCAGUGGGGAAUAUUGCACAAUGGGCGCAAGCCUGAUGCAGCAACGCCGCGUGAGGGACGAAGGCCUUCGGGUUGUAAACCUCUUUUAGCAGGGAAGAAGCGAGAGUGACGGUACCUGCAGAAAAAGCACCGGCUAACUACGUGCCAGCAGCCGCGGUAAUACGUAGGGUGCAAGCGUUGUCCGGAAUUAUUGGGCGUAAAGAGCUCGUAGGCGGUCUGUCGCGUCUGCUGUGAAAACCCGAGGCUCAACCUCGGGCUUGCAGUGGGUACGGGCAGACUAGAGUGCGGUAGGGGAGAUUGGAAUUCCUGGUGUAGCGGUGGAAUGCGCAGAUAUCAGGAGGAACACCGAUGGCGAAGGCAGAUCUCUGGGCCGUAACUGACGCUGAGGAGCGAAAGCAUGGGGAGCAAACAGGCUUAGAUACCCUGGUAGUCCAUGCCGUAAACGUUGGGAACUAGAUGUGGGGACCAUUCCACGGUCUCCGUGUCGUAGCUAACGCA